This 800-nucleotide ribosomal RNA is filed under the name uncultured bacterium. Its description in RNAcentral is "bacterial SSU rRNA". It matches the Rfam family "Bacterial small subunit ribosomal RNA", at positions 166 to 966 of the family's 1533-position model. The record is from RNAcentral.
AUACCGCAUAAAACUCUGAAGCAAAUGCUUUCAGAGUCAAAGCCUUUCGAGGCGCUUGGGGAUGAGCUUGCGCCCUAUUAGCUAGUUGGUGGGGUAAUGGCCUACCAAGGUAAUGAUGGGUAGCCGGCCUGAGAGGGUGUACGGCCACACUGGAACUGCGACACGGUCCAGACUCCUACGGGAGGCAGCAGUGGGGAAUUUUGCGCAAUGGGCGAAAGCCUGACGCAGCGACGCCGCGUGGAGGAUUAAGGCCUUCGGGUUGUAAACUCCUGUCAGAGGUGAAGAAUGCCCCCCUCGGGGGGUUUGACGGUAACCUCAGAGGAAGCCCCGGCUAACUACGUGCCAGCAGCCGCGGUAAUACGUAGGGGGCGAACGUUGCUCGGAAUUACUGGGCGUAAAGGGUGUGUAGGUGGCUGAGCAAGUCGUUGAUGAAAUCCCGAGGCUCACCCUCGGAACUGUCUUCGAAACUGCUCAGCUUGAGGAUAGUUGAGGAGAACGGAAUUCCCGGUGGAGCGGUGAAAUGCGUAGAUAUCGGGAGGAAUACCAGAGGCGAAGGCGGUUCUCUGGGCUAUUCCUGACACUGAAACACGAAAGCUAGGGGAGCAAACGGGAUUAGAUACCCCGGUAGUCCUAGCCGUAAACGAUGGGCACUAGAUGUUUCUACUUUGAUGUAGGGGUGUCGAAGCUAACGCGUUAAGUGCCCCGCCUGGGGAGUACGGUCGCAAGGCCGAAACUCAAAGGAAUUGACGGGGGCCCGCACAAGCGGUGGAGCAUGUGGUUUAAUUCGACGCAACGCGGAA